This 741-nucleotide long non-coding RNA is filed under the name Equus caballus (horse). RNAcentral's name for it is "lncRNA (ENSECAG00000058976.1)". Lineage: Eukaryota; Metazoa; Chordata; Mammalia; Perissodactyla; Equidae. The record is from RNAcentral.
GUCUUCAUCGUUAUCAUCACAGGAUGUUGCACAGGUCGUGCAAGCCGCAGAGGUCCACGCCCGGUUGCAAGAUGCAGCCUCCGCUUGCUGAGUAGAUUCUUCCUCCAGAUUACAAAACUGAGCCAUACAAGGAUAUGGGACGUCCCUGAGGUCACACGGUGGUGGGGCCAGAUUUCAACCUGGAAGUCCUGCUCCGGAACUGAGGCACCUCGCGCUGUCCUCUGAAAUGUCCACUCGCCUCGGUCUGGCCAGCGGCGUGAGCAUCUCUCACAGACAGAGCCAGAUGCGCUCUUUCUGGAAGCAGGAUGCCUCUUCGAGUGGAAGCAGUCCUUGCUUAGGAAAAUACUUCUUGAAAGACAUGGUGUGAACGAUGGAAUGCACUGACAGCCCUGCAUCUGGUCCUGAGCAGCAGCCGUGCCCCGCGGCGGAGCCUCUACUUGGACUCUGGGCUGGGCCAUGUCCAUGAGAGGACAGCAAAUGUUGUGCAAGCAGAGGCCUGAAGGAAGGCUGGCACGUGUCCACUCCCUCUCCGCCGUCCUGCCACCACCAUGAGAACGUGCCUGGGCUGGGCUGCUGGAGGGCCGUGAGAGACACAGGAAAGAGAGUUAGUCAUCCCAGCCAAGGUCAUCCUAGACGAGCCAGCCCCAGGAUGACCCACCAGCCGAUGACCUACACGUGAACAAGCCCAGCCAAGGUCAGUCUAAUCCAGCCAAGAUCAGCAGGACCACCCAGCUAACCCAU